UGGGGAAUAUUGGACAAUGGGCGAAAGCCUGAUCCAGCAAUGCCGCGUGAGUGAUGAAGGCCUUAGGGUUGUAAAGCUCUUUUACCCGGGAUGAUAAUGACAGUACCGGGAGAAUAAGCUCCGGCUAACUCCGUGCCAGCAGCCGCGGUAAUACGGAGGGAGCUAGCGUUGUUCGGAAUUACUGGGCGUAAAGCGCGCGUAGGCGGUUUUUUAAGUCAGAGGUGAAAGCCCAGUGCUCAACACUGGAACUGCCUUUGAAACUGGAAAACUUGAAUCUUGGAGAGGUCAGUGGAAUUCCGAGUGUAGAGGUGAAAUUCGUAGAUAUUCGGAAGAACACCAGUGGCGAAGGCGACUGACUGGACAAGUAUUGACGCUGAGGUGCGAAAGCGUGGGGAGCAAACA
Molecule: ribosomal RNA, 402 nt
Filed under: Brucella melitensis
Lineage: Bacteria; Pseudomonadati; Pseudomonadota; Alphaproteobacteria; Hyphomicrobiales; Brucellaceae
Also listed under: 4 other names
Description: partial 16S ribosomal RNA
Rfam family: Bacterial small subunit ribosomal RNA
Source: RNAcentral